Ictalurus furcatus (blue catfish) is the source of this 1038-nucleotide long non-coding RNA. RefSeq lists it as uncharacterized. The record is from RefSeq and is a predicted model, not a curated record. NCBI's taxonomy places the organism in Eukaryota, Metazoa, Chordata, Actinopteri, Siluriformes, Ictaluridae. The transcript has 3 exons.
UGCAGAACAUUUGCUAACUUUUAGCUAACGUCGAGCUAAACUUUUAAGCAGCUUUACACCGUAUGUAGCAUUACAGGUCGAGAGACUAACAUUUGGCUAACAUCUGAAGUAGGUUUUGGAUUUAGCAUAAAAGUGCUUUGCUAACUCUUAGCUAACCUUAUAAUACUGUUUAAAAAAACAACAACAUUAUAGCUGAUAAUACAAAGAGUUCGACGCCUCUUAGCCUUAGCGCUAGCGUUAGUGAUUCUGUCAUGCUAAUCUCAUGAGGAGCCUCUGGUUUAUGAGUGAACAGCAGCUGCUCUGCUUUUCCACACUGUCACGCCAUGAGGCCAACGCCCGGCCUCCUGCGGCAUGCUGGGAUCGAGUUAGCAGAGGGAGACAAGCGGCUGCCAUCUCGCUGAGGUCACCGCUGAACACGUGUGUGUGUGUGUGUGUGUGUGUGUGUGUGUGUCAGUACUGUCCCCAAUGCUUUUUAUCUUUGAGUUUAUAGUGCCUCAGAAGGAAUGCAAACAUUCUGAAUUCAGAUGAACUUUGACCUUUGCGGAGAAAAAACAAGAAGGAAGGAUUGAAGAUGAAGUUAAACGAAGGAAACCGCUCUCUUCUGCCGUGUGUGAAGACUUAAGGAGAAAGAAAGACAGAGAUAAAGGAGGAGAGAUGAAGGUUGUGCGAGUGACAGAACAGAGGAGAAGAGAGCGAAGUUUCAUCUACCCCGCGCACCAGUCACCUGCAGCGAGAGGCCUGGAGCCGUCCUGCGCCAUGGCGACCUGUCCACGUCGUCAACGUCCAAAUUUACGAGUGUAAUAAUGAACGAUGGAGAGAAAGAGACGGAGACGGAGGGAGGAUCUGCCACGAGGAAUGUUUUCAUCUGUCUCUUUCCAGAUGAUGCAUUUUUCCUUCCUGCCAAAUGGAAGACAACGUCGGAUUGUGUGUGUGUAUCGGCGUGUGAGUGUGUGUGUACUCGGAAAACACCUUUUGCAACCGAGGCCUAGCUACAAUAUUGCUUUUGUCUCAAACAAUACACACACACACACACACACA